Molecule: long non-coding RNA, 1315 nt
Filed under: Gouania willdenowi (blunt-snouted clingfish)
Lineage: Eukaryota; Metazoa; Chordata; Actinopteri; Blenniiformes; Gobiesocidae
Description: lncRNA (ENSGWIG00000006591.1)
Source: RNAcentral
UUUCUUUAUUUCCAGUGUAACAUGUUUGAGUCCAUAAUGUACAAUGAUACAGUCUGAUGAGUAUGAGUUCUCACCAUGAGGAUGAUCUAACUCUAAACCCAGGAUCAGAACACCAUUAUGUGUGGCCAGUCUUAUGACUUUCUACUUUCAAACGUUUGACAGAGAUAUUAGUGUUUGCUCAUCACCUCUGGGCAUGAAUUCUAAAAAUGCAACAAUGUCCCAGAGAACAGCUGAGCUGGUGUUCAUACGCUGGAGAAGAGAGGAAAGAGUUAAAACGUCUGACUGGAUGCUGGAGUCACAGUUUGUUCCUCAGCGUGUUCUGUUAGAGCUUCACUCAGAACAUUCACGUCAAACAUGAGUAAGUUACAGAACGAUUUGACUCCACGAGAGCAGGAGAUGCUGAAGAUCAGACGAAACAGCAGCACCAAAGCAGCAGAACUGGUGAAGAUGGAGAAGAUGCUUCAGGACACCAAGAGUUUGUUUGAGAAGAAGACAGAGAGUGGUUCAGAGAGCAGAGGGUACCAGGAGAACAUGGUGGAGGACCUGGAGGAGAAGGUGCGUUCCAGCAGGCGCUACAGGAGGAACUCGCUGCACCAGACCCAGAUGUUGGAAAGCCAGAUGAAGACGGUGAAGGGGGAGCUGGUGGGAACGUUGGACCACCUCCAGGAGCUGAGGAACGUUCUCCAACGUUCACAGCAGCGUGCAGAGGAACGUAAAGCUGCCAUGGAGAAGCUAGCGGCAGGGCUCACCUUUUGACCUGAUCACCACUUACUCUCGUACACCCAUAAUCACAACAUACUGCAGGUGCUGUGGUUGUUUUUCCUUUUCUUCAGAUUAAAACCAACGAUAGUCACGUUUCAUGCUAGUGUGACCUGACAUUUGAAAUGUUCUGCAGCAUCUAAUGUUCUUUUAUUAAUCUCCUAAAACUCAACCGUUCACCUUCUUCACAAUCUUUUUGUCCCAAAAAAUAUGUUUUUUAUUCUGUGGACCAAUUGUGAUAUUGAUAUGAUGGAAGUGGGGCUAACGGUGGCUAGUGGUUAGCACGUCCACCACACAGCAAGAAGGUCCUGGGUUCCAGAUGAGAAAGUAAUAGAUUACAAGUACUCACGUGACUGUAAUUUUCUUGCUUUUAUGGGUACAUGUGCUUUUUUCAGUAUUUUUCUAAAUCACUAAUUUUACUUUAAAAAUAAGUAAAGUAAUUACAUUUCUACACCCAACUGUUACUAAGUAAAUUAUUAUUUAUGUUUAAAAUGAUCAACGGACAUUGUGAAAAUACAAAAAUAAAAUGACCAGAAAACAAUAAAAUGUAAACGUA